Molecule: long non-coding RNA, 241 nt
Filed under: Mytilus galloprovincialis (Mediterranean mussel)
Lineage: Eukaryota; Metazoa; Mollusca; Bivalvia; Mytilida; Mytilidae
Source: RNAcentral
ACAAAUACAAAUAGUCUUCCAAUCCCUUGCUCAUUGAUACAUUGUAAUUUGCUCCCAUAGACCAUUAUUGAAACCACUACUAUUGGAAACUUCAGAUAUAUCCGCUCCAGUUUGAAAUAAAUAGACUUAAACCAAUACAUUUACAUAAAUGUUCUUAAUUCUAAUAACAAUAUGUAUAUGCAAACACUUCAAUUGAUAAACAAAUUUUGGUUUGAAUAGUAUAUGUCAAAAUGCAAGCACA